GGAGGGGAGAGGAGGUGUGGGGGAUAAUAUUUGAAAGUAAAUAAAUAAAAUAACCAGUUAAAAAAAACUCAAAAAACAAAAAACCCUCUGAAUAGUAAGCCCAGUAGAAUGAGAAGCUUCCCUCAUGAUUCCUUCAGAAGUUGAAGUGGUCUACUGUCUGUGGAGAGUGGGAUUCAGUUGAAAGAACUCCAUCAUCUAAGGUGACUGUGAAGUUCUCAGGCUGCUUGCCUCAGACCUCUUCCAGUAAAUUGCACACCUGUUUGUUUAAGUUAGCUCAAGGUGGAUUUCUGAGAGUAGCAGCUAAGAAAAUUUGCCCUUAAAGAGACUUUACGUUGGGAUGAGAAAGGCUCUACCAGGCUUUCUGAUAUAUCAAAGUUCAUAAUUCUGAGUGAACAUUGACUUCAUCAACCACAUAGUAUAACACUUCCCACUUCUCUACCUUCUAAUUAUGACAUGGAGCAUGAUAUGUAUAAACGUAUUGCACAGAUGGUUCAAGGUAUUGCUCGAGCAAGGUUUUCUUUUUUAUUUUUAUAAUUAAACUUUUUAUUGAUUGUUACUAUAAAUAGUGUGUGUGUGUGUGUGUGUGUGUGUGUGUGUGUGUGUGCGUAUGUGUACCCACAUAAGUAAGAUGUGGGUACCCAUGUGUAGAGGUCUUAGAACAGAUUUCAGGGGUUGGUUCUGUCCUGCAAGGGAUCCAACUGAGAUUGUUAUGCUUGGAUGGGAAGCACCUUUACCCACUAUGCCGUCUCAUUGGCCCUUGGUAGGGAUUAAUAGACCUGCCUGGAAUCCUAUGUCUGAAAUCUUUGUGAAUCACCAUGCCAGAGAAGUUCGUGUUAAAGGGAGAUGAAUAUAUUUUGCAAAACAUAGCGUCAUUGCCACAGGGUAAGUAACAGUUACUAUCACCAUAGAGUCACAGGAUCUACAUAGAACAGCGGUUCUCAAUCUGUGGGCCACCAACCUUUGGGAAUCAAAUGACACUUUUGCAGAGGUCAGCUGUGAAAUAUCAGACAUCCUGCAUAUCAGAUAUUUACAACAUGGCUCUUAACAGUAGCAGCAUUGCAGUUAUGAAGUAGCAAUGAACGGACUUAUGGUUGCGCAUCACCAGAGCAUGAGGGACUAUAUUAAAGGGUCACAGCACUAGGAAGAUUGAGAUCCACUGACCAAGAACAUCUUCUGAUUUCCGGCUGAAGAGGGGGAGGAUCCAGGUGAGGGCUGCGUAAAGUCUCCCUGCGUGAGGGCUGUAUGUUGCUGGGAUCCUUUUCAAUCUGUGUUUCUCCUGCACAUAUCUCAAUAACCAGGAUCACUGGAACAAAAAAUUAACUUGGCAGUCACCUCUCAAGUCAUGCUUUGGUUUUAAACGAUAACUGAACUUCUGCCAAGCUGUUUCCCACAACCAAUCAUAGUCUGUGUGUUCUUUUCCAGCUACUUGCAAAAAAAAAAAAAAAGAAAGAAAAAAAAGAAAAAGAAAUCAGUUAUUUGUUAGAAAAAAAAAAGAGAGAAGACUUUCUCUUCAUUCAUUGCUUCCUGAACAGGUUAUGCUUUGUUUUCAAUUCUGUAAAUGUCUGGUCUCACCGGCUGUAUUUCAAUUGCUACCACCGUUAAGACGGCAGAUGACUGGGACAGUCUUGUUUUCUCUCAGUAUUACAAUGCACAAUGUGAUAAAGGUUGAGCUCUCCUCAAAGAUGUUAAGUAGAGAAAUUCACCUAUGUAAGUUUAUAGAUAUAUAAACCCGGGUCUGUCCUAUUCAAGGGUCCUCCUUUAACUUUUGACAUUGAGCAGUGCAAAGCAGAGAGAGCUCUGGCUGUUACCAUUCAAGCCUUCCUAGGUUUCUGAGACAGCACAGUAAAAUCACCCCUGCUUUUAUUCUAUUCCAGUCAUUCCCACCUCAGCCGACUCUUCAUGUGUCUCCCUUUGUCGGCGCUCACUGAUGUCUGGUAACUGGUUUCCUCCUCUUGUGUUGCUGCACGACGAGGUCAGAUUUGGGUCAAACAACUUCAAACCAUGUGUGACGCUGAGCUGGCAUCACUGAAGUUGUGUUUAUGGCACGAGUGAAAUAUCAACAGAAAAUAUUACAGUGGCUGGCUCCCUGCUCCCCAGAGUCAAAUGGCCUCUCAUUAGUCAGUUUGUUUAUAAAUGUAGAACAGACCCAUUGAAAGACAUGUCGGGACCUGGGACUGGGUAUCUGAGUGGCUAUUUUCCCCUGACCUCAAGAGAACUCAGAGACAGACAUGUUUCAGACACCUGUGAGGGAGAGAGUUGUGGAAGAGUCAGGCAGGCUCACACAGGGGAUGGAGGGUGUUAGCAUUUGGAAUUCCUCUUCUUCCUUCUGUCUCCUGACAGCUCUGCUCAGCAGUCCAGCUCAUUCUGAAGCUGGAGGACAUGGGGAAUUGUAGGUCAGCCUCUCAAGGAGAGGUGGGCAUGGAAUGACAAGGGAAGGCGUCUCUGGUGUAGUCACUAAGAAGGAAAAAAAAUUGUGCUGAUAAAACUGGAGGCGAUGUUCUUUUAUCAUUUAGAAUUUUUAUUUUGAACGUCUUGAAAUAGCAUUGUUAAACAGAUAAGAAUUCAAUUAUUUUUCUUAUCAGACAGUACCUUCCUGGAUUAAAAAUGACCUUACAUUUCAAUGCUGAACAAUGUUUAUAAAACCGCGGCAUAUUCCCCUGAACUCCUGCUAGCAAAAGAGACUGUAAUGCAAUUUCUAGAACCUUACUCACUCCACACUUAGAGGGGAAGCCUUCUGGAUAUCAGGGUGCUUUGGGUUUGCCUGUAAGCAAAAGGAGGCAGCAGGAGGGUGCUGGGCAGCUUCUGAAGGCAGAUCAGAGGUGAGGAUGCAGCUGGCAACAGGCUUGCUGGAAUGUGUGUCAGAACCCGGAGCCUCCAUGGCAACAUUCUCAGGCCCCGUGACCAUCAGGCUGGCUGGAUUCCCAGGGAGUCACAUGGAAAAGCCCGGAGACCGGAUGGAAGAUGAUACCGUUUUCCAGCCUCUCCUAUUUCCUCCAACUUCCUGUUUGUCCGUUGUCAGCCACUGUGGGACAAGAGAAUGGGAUCUGAAGAGUCUUCCUUAUUGGAACCUCAUUGGGACUCCCAGAAACAGAGGAGAAAUGGUCGCUGUCAUUUUAAGCCGUGGAGGUCUGAGAUGAUUCAUUACACAAAGGUAACCCAAGCAAUUUUAAGUGCCAGUUCGAUUCCAAAGUGUCCCCCAAACACAUAUAAUUCACUCUCGUGACACAGCAUGGAUAAUCACGAGCACAUCUGUAAGUGGUCAGUGGCCCCCUGAGCAGCAACCAUGGGAGGUACUGCCAAUUUUAAGAUCUGUACUAACGAAAGAUAUGAAGGAAAACAAACCAUAACCCUUACGAUUGAUGGAAUGCGGCAGUGCAUGCGCAGUGGGAGAGACAGAGACAAUGAAAGCAUUAGAGAACUUGCCGGUGAAACUAUUUUGUUUUGAAAAACCUUAGUAGUUUGUGGUUAAAACGACAUGAGUUUAGUAAGAGCAACAACGACAAAAAACAAAGCAAAACAGAACGACACGACUAAAAUGACAGUGAAAUCACUGAAAUUUCACCAGGAAGAUAUAAACGCCUAGAUAUUUUAGUGCGUAUGGACACAUACAGAUGUGGCACAAAAAAUGAUUCAGCUGAGAUUGUCUUGCACUGGAUCAGUGUCCAUACAGAUAUAUGGAUAUUAUAAACAUGAUAUAUGUUAUACCACAUCACUUGUUUAACCAUUUAGUGAUGGCAUUUUAUUUUUUCUUUUCAAUUUUAUGAGCAAAGCAGUGGGUUAUAUUUGCACACAUAUGUUGUCCCCUGGGUAAUUAUCUUUGUGUGUGUGUGUGUGUGUGUGUGUGUGUGUGUGUGUGUGUGUGUGUGUAUGUGCGCGCGCGUGCGCGUGUGCGUGUAUGUGUGUAUUUCUAUGUAUAUGAGAUUUUUGGAUUGAAUGGGGUUUAUUUAUAACUGAUUCUAAAAAAUCUCAUUUAUAGUUGUGACGCGCCUGGAAAGUCUGUGUUUCCUUAUCCUCUCUAGCAGCUGUUGACGAAGACAAUUCUUCCCUCUUGGGCCGUGUUCAGCUCUGGCCAUUUAUGUGAUGAGUUGUGUGGUUUUAAAAGAUUUCCUUUUUAUUGUGUUUGCAUCUCAGCAAGGGAUGCAACUGAACCUCUUUGUACUUUUGUCAAUUUGAACUUUUUUGUGAAUCGAGUCUUGAUUGUCUUUUGGCCAUCUUUCUUUUCAUAAGUAGUUUGUGGGAACACUUUGUGUAAUAGUAGUAAUUCUUUAUGCAUUGUUUGUCUUGCUAUUUUUUCCCUGUGUUUCAAACAUUAUCAUUGUGGUGUUUUGGUUUUUUUUUGCCCAGAAAUUCUAUGUGAAUUGAUUUCACUCUAUAGUUUUUGGCUUCUUGUGUUAAAAGCAUUCACCUAUAUUCAUGUUUGUGCAGUUAUUAUGAAUUUUAUUAUACUUAUAAUUUAUGAAAUUUAACUUCUGUAAUGAGGCCAGUUGCCUCAUAUCGUUUGAUGAAUAAUACUCUUUCUCCAGUUAUUGGAAAUAAUACAUUUAUCACGUACUAAGUUCUCUUUACAUUUUCAUCUGUGUUUGAGAUUCUUUGGAAAUGUUGUUUUUUUUUUCCUCCACGUAACUCGCAGUUCAUGCUAGUGUUUCUGUCACUGUGAAAUACUAGGAGUUACUCUUUAAAGGUGAAAGUUCACGCUCUUCUUCCUGCUCUUUGAAUGGCUUCUGUUAUGUUCUUUACAGAUGAAUUUUAAAAUAAUUGUUACAAUCUGAAAAAGAGGAGAUGGCAUAGCCAGUAAAAGCUCUCCCUGUGCAAGCAUGAGUACCUGGAUUUGGAUCUCCAGAGCUCAAGUAGAAAGUCAAGAGCAUUGGUGCCCGCAAUGCCAGUGCAGGAGUGGCUGAGCGGGAACAUGGCUGGGGCUCGACUACUGACAGUCUCGUCCUGGGGCUGGGGAGAGACCCUGUCUCAAAGGAAUAAGCUAGGAACAGUGGAGCAGGGCAUGGGUGUUCUCUCCUGGGCAUGUGCACCCAAGUACACUUGUAUGCAUAUAGCAAAUAUACCAGGCAGAAACACACACACACACACACACACACACACACACACACACACACACACACACACACACAAUUCAUGUAAGUGAAAAAUAUUGAAAUAACCCCAUGGUGAUUUUUUGGGAUUUAUUGUCUAUAUUCCAGAGAGCUGACUCCUUUCUAGCCCUGCAUCUUCCUGACCAGAAACAAAAACCAUCUUUUCAUUUAGCCAAUUAAGUUUUAUUCUCUGUUUGCUUUUUUACAAUUUCUUCUCUAAAAAGGAUUUAUUUGAUUUAUUUCUUUUAUGUAUGUGAGUGCAAUGUCACUGUCUUCAGACACACCAGAAGAGGGCAUCAGAUCCCAUUACAGAUGGUUGUGAGCCACCAUGCGGUUGCUGAAAAUUGAACUCAAGACCUCUGGAAGAACAGUCAGUGCUCUUAACCCCUGAGCUAUAUCUCCAGCCCUGCUUUUUCAGUGUUUUGAUGUCACAACAAAAGGCUUUCCAUGCCAUGUUUUACUUAAAGUUUGUAGCUCAUGUCUACGAUACCAGCACUUGGGAGGUCAUGGCAGCAGGCAGGGGGAUUGCUAUAAUCCUGAAUCCAGCCUGGGCUCCAUAGUGAGAAUCUGUCCCCAAAACAACAGAAGUUUCCGGGAGAGUCAGAAGUGGCAAGUCAGUUGUGUGUUUUGCUGGGGCAAACAUGUGACGGAAUGUUUUCCUGAAGCAGACACAGGUGAAAGGAUGUUUUGCUAAAGCGAGCACGUAAGAGGACGUGUGAUGAAAGACCCUUCACUAACAACACAAAUGCACUGGUUCACCUUACACUGCAUAGGUGAACUCCGUCUGUUAUGCUUCCACAGAGAGAAAUGCAGCAAAAAAACUGGCGGAGUUCUGGCAACUUCUUGCUACUUCUGUGGAUUUGGGUCUAUUGGCAGAGUGACGUCUGCUGAUACGGACUCAUGUGGGGUUUUGCUAUGACUGAGGCAAAACGCAUGGAGGACACGUGAUGUUUGGAGGGAGUAUAAAAAGGACUCAAAGGACAGCGACUGGGGCUUACAUAGACAGCUUUGCAACACAUCUUGGCCUCACCUCUUAGUCUUCACUGAUUUUUACUUCGUUGAGAGAGGCACGGCAGAGAGAGGCAGGUGUCCUUCUCUCUGGUGGUCCUAAUCAUUCCUGCUGAGUCAUGCAGAUUUGGCUGAGGCCUGGCUGUUUCUGUUAGAUCAUGCCACCAUUGCCCAUGUGUGUUUGCUAUUCUGACAUGACUGAGCAGGACUGCUGGUGUAUUUGUAAAGUGUUUGUGAGUGCAUCAAGCUGCUGCUGCUGAUUUUCUGACAAUGCAGAUCAGAUUUGCUCCAAAGAACAAUUUCUAAACAGGUCCACUUCCUAUAUCCUAAUAACCUUUCUUUUCUACUACCUCUUGGUGGGUAGUGGGUAGAAGUGUUUUUAAACACUUUUUAAAGUGUUUAAAAAACUCCUAUUAAAAAUAGGGUUUAAAAUUUUAAGCUUACAAGGGUCUGCUCAUAUUUUUGUACUAUUCAUUAAAACUUUCCACCCUUGCAUAACAUUGUGAGCACAUUCUUUUUAUUGUAUGUUUAUUUCUCAGUUCUCACAAGGAUGCAGGUGCUUGAGUCCCUUCAGUAACGUGACACAGUUUUUGUAUUUAGUCUGCACACAUCUGCUUGUGUAUUUUAGAUAAUUCCUGAAUUACCUAUAAUAUCCAAUACAAUGUAAAUGCUGUGUGGACAGGGGUUUGCUGGUUCAGUCUUUGUUGUUUGGGGUGUAAUGACACAGGGAAACAAAGGUCAGUACUGGAACAAUAUAAUUUCUGGAAUGUUUGCAACUUGAAAUAGGGAACUUGCAGAUGUGGAGAGGUGACUGGAUAUUCUAUUUUGGUUUUAAGGAUUAAUAAUAAUGAUAAGUUAUGUUUGGAAAGAAAAGUUUCUCUCAAACAGUAAACUAAAUAAAACACCAGUAACAUAACACUGGGUGGUGUUGGCCACCUUCCGUGAAGCAUAAAAGAUGGCAGUGACUACAACUGUGUAGUUGAAGAUGCUACUGUGUGAGAAUUGCCAGGGGCACGCAGGCUCUCGAGGACUGUGAGUAUGCUUCCUGAUCUCAAUAUCCGAUGUUUUAUUUCUUUUCCUUAACUGUGAUGGUGAAAAGGACCGAGUCAUCCCUAAAAAAGUGUCAGCCUGAGACACCAACCCACAGGCAACAUCACAAGCCCUGACUGAGUAACAAUGCCCUUGUGAUUUGCAAAGUGCAGAGGCGGUCAGUGCAGUGUAGAGAAGAGACCAGCACAGGAGGCGGCAGACCAGGGACACGGCCUCUGCUGAAGCCCAGAUCUGAGUUGACUAGGGCUGAAACCAAAGAGCAGAAGGCUGCAGCAAAGACAAUCCCUUCUCCUGAGUUUCUGGAAAGCUCACACUGGGAGGGAUUUCCUCAUGCAUGGCUGGCUUCACCCAAGUGACUUUAACAUUAACCGAGGACAGGAAAAUGCUUUCUUCUGUUGACUACUACACACCAUGGGGAAAAAUUUGUUUCCCAAAGCCAAAAUAAAAUGCUUAUCAUAUUAGGAUACUUUUGUACUGAUAUUUAACUGAUGGAAAUGUGUACUUAAAGGGUACAUUUUAUGUAGGCAUGCGGUCUAAGAAAUGCAUAGUCGUUUAUGUACAGCUCAACUUAUCAUGAUAUAUUUGUGUAAGCCAUCUCCAUAAGGGGUGCUGUGAGCAGAGACAUAGACUAAUUACAGUAAGAAUAAAACAGAACUUCAGCAUAAUUUAUGUUCUCGAUCAAAUGAGGAAGUUUGGUAAUAAAGAGAAAAGAAAUAC
This is a long non-coding RNA of Rattus norvegicus (Norway rat), 7859 nucleotides long. RefSeq lists it as uncharacterized. NCBI's taxonomy places the organism in Eukaryota, Metazoa, Chordata, Mammalia, Rodentia, Muridae. The record is from RefSeq and is a predicted model, not a curated record.